RNAcentral lists this ribosomal RNA (460 nucleotides) under uncultured bacterium. RNAcentral describes it as "partial 16S ribosomal RNA". It matches the Rfam family "Bacterial small subunit ribosomal RNA", at positions 338 to 795 of the family's 1533-position model. The record is from RNAcentral.
CCUACGGGGGGCAGCAGUGAGGAAUAUUGGUCAAUGGACGAGAGUCUGAACCAGCCAAGUAGCGUGAAGGAUGACUGCCCUAUGGGUUGUAAACUUCUUUUAUAUGGGAAUAAAAUGUUCCACGUGUGGGAUUUUGUAUGUACCAUAUGAAUAAGGCUCGGCUAACUCCGUGCCAGCAGCCGCGGUAAUACGGAGGAUCCGAGCGUUAUCCGGAUUUAUUGGGUUUAAAGGGAGCGUAGGUGGAUUGUUAAGUCAGUUGUGAAAUUUUGCGGCUCAACCGUAAAAUUGCAGUUGAAACUGGCAGUCUUGAGUACAGUAGAGGUGGGCGGAAUUCGUGGUGUAGCGGUGAAAUGCUUAGAUAUCACGAAGAACUCCGAUUGCGAAGGCAGCUCACUGGACUGCAACUGACACUGAGGCUCGAAAGUGUGGGUAUCAAACAGGAUUAGAUACCCCUGUAGUC